This 406-nucleotide ribosomal RNA is filed under the name uncultured bacterium. RNAcentral's name for it is "partial 16S ribosomal RNA". It matches the Rfam family "Bacterial small subunit ribosomal RNA", at positions 28 to 526 of the family's 1533-position model. The record is from RNAcentral.
AUUGAACGCUGGCGGCAGGCCUAACACAUGCAAGUCGAGCGAGCGGCGGACGGGUGAGUAUUGUCUGGGAAACUGCCUGAUGGAGGGGGAUAACUACUGGAAACGGUAGCUAAUACCGCAUACCAUCAGAUGUGCCCAGAUGGGAGUAGCUAGUAGGUGGGGUAACGGCUCACCUAGGCGACGAUCCCUAGCUGGUCUGAGAGGAUGACCAGCCACACUGGAGCGGAGACACGGUCCAGAGUCCUACGGGAGGCGGCAGUGGGGAAGAUUGCACAAUGGGGGCAAGCGUGAUGCGGCCAUGCGGCGUGUGUGAAGAGGGCCUUCGGGUUGUAAAGCGCUUUCAGCGAGGAGGCGUUGCCCGCAGAGGAAGCACCGGCUAGCUCCGUGCCAGCAGCCGCGGUAAUAC